This 1429-nucleotide ribosomal RNA is filed under the name uncultured organism. Its description in RNAcentral is "partial small subunit ribosomal RNA". It matches the Rfam family "Bacterial small subunit ribosomal RNA". The record is from RNAcentral.
GGGUGCUUAACACAUGCAAGUCGAACGGAAAGGCCCUGUUUUUGUGGGGUGCUCGAGUGGCGAACGGGUGAGUAACACGUGAGUAACCUGCCCUUGACUUUGGGAUAACUUCAGGAAACUGGGGCUAAUACCGGAUAGGAGCUCCUGCUGCAUGGUGGGGGUUGGAAAGUUUCGGCGGUUGGGGAUGGACUCGCGGCUUAUCAGCUUGUUGGUGGGGUAGUGGCUUACCAAGGCUUUGACGGGUAGCCGGCCUGAGAGGGUGACCGGCCACAUUGGGACUGAGAUACGGCCCAGACUCCUACGGGAGGCAGCAGUGGGGAAUAUUGCACAAUGGGCGGAAGCCUGAUGCAGCAACGCCGCGUGCGGGAUGACGGCCUUCGGGUUGUAAACCGCUUUCGCCUGUGACGAAGCGUGAGUGACGGUAAUGGGUAAAGAAGCACCGGCUAACUACGUGCCAGCAGCCGCGGUGAUACGUAGGGUGCGAGCGUUGUCCGGAUUUAUUGGGCGUAAAGGGCUCGUAGGUGGUUGAUCGCGUCGGAAGUGUAAUCUUGGGGCUUAACCCUGAGCGUGCUUUCGAUACGGGUUGACUUGAGGAAGGUAGGGGAGAAUGGAAUUCCUGGUGGAGCGGUGGAAUGCGCAGAUAUCAGGAGGAACACCAGUGGCGAAGGCGGUUCUCUGGGCCUUUCCUGACGCUGAGGAGCGAAAGCGUGGGGAGCGAACAGGCUUAGAUACCCUGGUAGUCCACGCUGUAAACGGUGGGUACUAGGUGUGGGGUCCAUUCCACGGGUUCCGUGCCGUAGCUAACGCUUUAAGUACCCCGCCUGGGGAGUACGGCCGCAAGGCUAAAACUCAAAGGAAUUGACGGGGCCCCGCACAAGCGGCGGAGCAUGCGGAUUAAUUCGAUGCAACGCGUAGAACCUUACCUGGGUUUGACAUGGAUCGGGAGUGCUCAGAGAUGGGUGUGCCUCUUUUGGGGUCGGUUCACAGGUGGUGCAUGGCUGUCGUCAGCUCGUGUCGUGAGAUGUUGGGUUAAGUCCCGCAACGAGCGCAACCCUUGUUCACUGUUGCCAGCACGUUAUGGUGGGGACUCAGUGGAGACCGCCGGGGUCAACUCGGAGGAAGGUGGGGAUGACGUCAAGUCAUCAUGCCCCUUAUGUCCAGGGCUUCACGCAUGCUACAAUGGCUGGUACAGAGAGUGGCGAGCCUGUGAGGGUGAGCGAAUCUCGGAAAGCCGGUCUCAGUUCGGAUUGGGGUCUGCAACUCGACCUCAUGAAGUCGGAGUCGCUAGUAAUCGCAGAUCAGCAACGCUGCGGUGAAUACGUUCCCGGGGCUUGUACACACCGCCCGUCAAGUCAUGAAAGUUGGUAACACCCGAAGCCGGUGGCCUAACCGUUGUGGGGGAGCCGUCGAAGGUGGGACUGGUGAUUAG